GGGUGUGAUCAUACCAACGUUAAUGCACUAUAUCCUAUCAAAACUCCACAGUUAAGAGCGCUUGGGCUACAAUAGUACUCGGAUGGGUGACCUUCUGGGAAGUCCUAGUGUUGCACCCU
Molecule: non-coding RNA, 119 nt
Organism: Picea glauca (white spruce)
Lineage: Eukaryota; Viridiplantae; Streptophyta; Pinopsida; Pinales; Pinaceae
Source: Rfam